RNAcentral lists this unclassified non-coding RNA (277 nucleotides) under uncultured fungus. RNAcentral's name for it is "sequence contains ITS1, 5.8S rRNA gene". Lineage: Eukaryota; Fungi. The record is from RNAcentral.
UCUCCGUUGGUGAACCAGCGGAGGGAUCAUUACAGAGUCGUAAAACACUCCCAAACCCAUGUGAACUUACCUUUGUUGCCUCGGCAGUAGUUGCUGGGCGAGCCUACCCGGGAACGAGCUACCCUGUAGCGAGUUACCCUGGAACGACUUACCCUGUAACGCCUGCCGGUGGACUACUAAACUCUUGUUAUUUUUAAAGUAAUCUGAGCGUCUUAUUUUAAUAAGUCAAAACUUUCAACAACGGAUCUCUUGGUUCUGGCAUCGAUGAAGAACGAGC